RNAcentral lists this transfer RNA (73 nucleotides) under Mesorhizobium sp. M2A.F.Ca.ET.046.02.1.1. RNAcentral describes it as "tRNA-Pro". It matches the Rfam family "tRNA". Rfam says of the family: Transfer RNA (tRNA) molecules are approximately 80 nucleotides in length. Lineage: Bacteria; Pseudomonadati; Pseudomonadota; Alphaproteobacteria; Hyphomicrobiales; Phyllobacteriaceae. The record is from RNAcentral.
GUGUAGCGCAGUCUGGUAGCGCACCUCGUUCGGGACGAGGGGGUCGCAGGUUCAAAUCCUGCCACUCCGACCA